RNAcentral lists this ribosomal RNA (1284 nucleotides) under metagenome. RNAcentral describes it as "SSU rRNA". It matches the Rfam family "Eukaryotic small subunit ribosomal RNA", at positions 498 to 1792 of the family's 1831-position model. The record is from RNAcentral.
AGGCUCGUCAAUCGAAAUGAGCACAAUUUAAAUCCUUUAACGAGUACCAAUUGGAGGGCAAGUCUGGUGCCAGCAGCCGCGGUAAUUCCAGCUCCAAUAGCGAAUAUUAAAUUUGUUGCAGCUAAAAAGCUCGUAGUUGGAUCCAAGGUUAGGCAUGCCUGUCUGUUCUUAGUAGCAUGACUGUGUGUGUCUGCCUUUAUUAGUUGAAUGUUCAUUAUGGUGGUCUUCAUCGACUGCUAUGAUGUGCUCAACACGUUUACCUUGAAAAAAUCAGAGCGAUCAAGGCAGGCCUUCGUGCUUGUAUGUUGUUGCAAGGAAUAAUAGAAUAGGACUUCGGUUCUAUUUUGUUGGUUUUGAGAAUUGAAGUAAUGAACAAUAGAGACAGUCGGGGGCAUUUGUAUGGUGGCGUUAGAGGUGAAAUUCUGAGAUCGUCGCCAGACAAACUACUGCGAAAGCAUUUGCCAAGGAUGUCUUCAUUAAUCAAGAACGAAAGUCAGAGGUUCGAAGACGAUCAGAUACCGUCCUAGUUCUGACCAUAAACGAUGCCGACCUACAAUCGGGGGUGGUUUAUUAUAUUGACCCUCCCGGCUGUCCUCAGGAAACUUUAAGUUGGUUCUGGGGGGAAUAUGGUCUCAAGACUGAAACUUAAAGGAAUUGACGGAAGGGCACCACCAGGGGUGGAGCCUGCGGCUUAAUUUGACCCAACACGGGGAAUCUCACCCGGUCCGGACACUGGUAGGAUGGACAGAUUGAUAGCUCUUUCUUGAUUCAGUGGGUGGUGGUGCAUGGCCGUUCUUAGUUGGUGGAGUGAUUUGUCUGGUUAAUUCCGAUAACGAACGAGACUCUGUCCUGCUAAAUAGUCCAGUGGCAUCAAUCACUAUGUGAUUACAGCUGCUGUUACUUCUUAGAGGGAUUCGCGGAUUUAAACCGCAAGAAAUAGAGCAAUAACAGGUCUGUGAUGCCCUUAGAUGUCCGGGGCCGCACGCGCGCUACAUUGACAGUAGAAGCGAGUAUUUCUACCUGGUUCGAAAGAAUUGGGAAAUCUUCGAAUUACUGUCUCCACAGGGAUUGAGGUUUGCAAUUUUGCCUCAUGAACGAGGAAUUCCCAGUAGGCGCAAGUCAUCAGCUUGCGUCGAUUACGUCCCUGCCCUUUGUACACACCGCCCGUCGCUACUACCGAUUGAGUGCAUUAGUGAGGACCUCGGAUUGAGAACAUAGUGGCGCAAGUUACUUUGUUUUCGAAAAGUGGUUCAAAUUUGUGCAUUUAGAGAUAGUAAAAGUCGU